This 520-nucleotide ribosomal RNA is filed under the name uncultured Glomus. Its description in RNAcentral is "SSU rRNA". It matches the Rfam family "Eukaryotic small subunit ribosomal RNA", at positions 569 to 1091 of the family's 1831-position model. Lineage: Eukaryota; Fungi; Glomeromycota; Glomeromycetes; Glomerales; Glomeraceae. The record is from RNAcentral.
AGCAGCCGCGGUAAUUCCAGCUCCAAUAGCGUAUAUUAAAGUUGUUGCAGUUAAAAAGCUCGUAGUUGAAUUUCGGGGUCAGUAGGUUGGUCGUGCCACCGGUACGUACUGGUCUCACUGAUUCCUCCUUCCUGAAGAACCGUAAUGCCAUUAAUUUGGUGUUGCGGGGAAACAGGACUGUUACUUUGAAAAAAUUAGAGUGUUUAAAGCAGGCUAACGCUUGAAUACAUUAGCAUGGAAUAAUGAAAUAGGACGAUCGAUCCUAUUUUGUUGGUUUCUAGGAUUGACGUAAUGAUUAAUAGGGAUAGUUGGGGGCAUUAGUAUUCAAUUGUCAGAGGUGAAAUUCUUGGAUUUAUUGAAGACUAACUACUGCGAAAGCAUUUGCCAAGGAUGUUUUCAUUAAUCAAGAACGAAAGUUAGGGGAUCGAAGACGAUCAGAUACCGUCGUAGUCUUAACCAUAAACUAUGCCGACUAGGGAUCGGAUGAUGUUAAUUUUAUAAUGACUCAUUCGCGCCUUAC